UCCUCCACCAGAGCUGCCCUUCAGAUUCGACUUCCUGUCAUCACAAGACGUUCCAGACUGGGAACAGACGUCGAGGAGAGCUCAGUGGAUCAUCCACAAAUACAGUCAAACACCGGGGAGUGUGCAGAUGGACAGAUUCUUCCGGAAAGACUCCCAUCUCACCUGUCUGGAGAAGAUGCUGUCGUCUCUGGCGAGGUACCUGGAGCCCCUCCCA
Non-coding RNA from Plectropomus leopardus (leopard coralgrouper), 214 nucleotides. NCBI's taxonomy places the organism in Eukaryota, Metazoa, Chordata, Actinopteri, Perciformes, Serranidae. The record is from RefSeq and is a predicted model, not a curated record.